GGCGUUAAGUUGCAGGGUAUAGACCCGAAACCCGGUGAUCUAGCCAUGGGCAGGUUGAAGGUUGGGUAACACUAACUGGAGGACCGAACCGACUAAUGUUGAAAAAUUAGCGGAUGACCUGUGGCUGGGGGUGAAAGGCCAAUCAAACCGGGAGAUAGCUGGUUCUCCCCGAAAGCUAUUUAGGUAGCGCCUCGUGAAUUCAUCUCCGGGGGUAGAGCACUGUUUCGGCUAGGGGGCCAUCCCGGCUUACCAACCCGAUGCAAACUGCGAAUACCGGAGAAUGUUAUCACGGGAGACACACGGCGGGUGCUAACGUCCGUCGUGAAGAGGGAAACAACCCAGACCGCCAGCUAAGGUCCCAAAGUCAUGGUUAAGUGGGAAACGAUGUGGGAAGGCCCAGACAGCCAGGAUGUUGGCUUAGAAGCAGCCAUCAUUUAAAGAAAGCGUAAUAGCUCACUGGUCGAGUCGGCCUGCGCGGAAGAUGUAACGGGGCUAAACCAUGCACCGAAGCUGCGGCAGCGACGCUGAUGCGU
Molecule: ribosomal RNA, 533 nt
Filed under: Salmonella enterica
Lineage: Bacteria; Pseudomonadati; Pseudomonadota; Gammaproteobacteria; Enterobacterales; Enterobacteriaceae
Description: partial 23S ribosomal RNA
Rfam family: Bacterial large subunit ribosomal RNA
Source: RNAcentral